GGCUGCCGCUAUUGGGGUCCGAUUAAGCCAUGCAAGUCUUAAGGACCUUGUGUCCUUGGCAGACUGCUCAGUAACACGUGGACAACUUGCCCUAUCGCGGGGGAUAAUCUCGGGAAACUGAGGAUAAUACCCCAUAGGUCUCAGGUACUGGAAUGUUCUGAGACUCAAAGCUCCGGCACGAUAGGAUAGGUCUGCGGCCGAUUAGCCUGUAGGCGGUGUAAUGGACCACCUAAGCAAUAAUCGGUAAGGGUCGUGGGAGCGAUUGCCCUGAGACGGAAUCUGAGACACUAUUCCGAGCCUUACGGGGUGCAGCAGGCGCGAAACCUUUACAAUGCACGAAAGUGUGAUAAGGGGACUCCAAGUGUCCAUAUACCAUAUGGACUUUUUCGAAGUUUAAAACGCUUUGGGAAUAAGGGGUGGGCAAGACUAGUGCCAGCCGCCGCGGUAAAACUAGCAUCCCAAGUGGCAGUCACCAUUACUGGGCUUAAAGCGUCCGUAGCUUGUUUUGAAAGUCUCUGGUGAAAUCCUGCGGCUUAACCGUAGGGCUUGCCGGAGAAACUACAAGACUUGAGGACAGGAGAGGUCGGGGGUACUUCUGGGGUAGGGGUGAAAUCCUAUAAUCCUAGAAGGACCAACAGUGGCGAAGGCGCCCGACAUGAAUGUGCCUGACAGUGAGGGACGAGAGCCAGGGUCGCGAAACGGAUUAGAUACCCGUGUAGUCCUGGCCGUAAACGAUGUUGACUAGGUGGGACGCGUCCUUAGUGGUCGUGUUAUGCCGAAGGGAAACCGUUAAGUCAACCGCCUGGGGAGUACGUCCGCAAGGAUGAAACUUAAAGGAAUUGGCGGGGGAGCACUACAAGGGGUGGAAGCUGCGGUUUAAUUAGAUUCAACGCUGGACAUCUCACCGGAGGCGACAGCAGUAUGAAGGUCAGGCUGAUGGUCUUACCGGACACGCUGAGAGGAGGUGCAUGGCCGUCGUCAGCUCGUGCCGUAAGGUGUUAGGUUAAGUCCUAAAACGAGCGAGACCCACACUCUUAUUUGCAACCGGUUCUUCCGAGGGCUGGGCACAAUAAGAGGACUGCCCGCUAUAAGUGGGAGGAAGGAGUGGACAACGAUAGGUCCGCAUGCCCCAAAUCUUCCGGGCUACACGCGUCUUACAAUGACUGGUACAAUGAGUCAACCCCGAAAGGGGGAGCCAAUCUCGAAAGCCAGCCUCGGUUCGGAUCGAGGGUUGAAACUCAUCCUCGUGAAGCUGGAAUCCCUAGUAAUCGCUGCUCAUUAUACAGCGAUGAAUACGUCCCUGCUCCUUGCACACACUGUCCGUCACUCCAACCAAGCUAGGUCCAGGCAAGGAUAUGUCCCUUGAUAUGUUCAAGUCCGGGUUUAGUGAGGCGGGGGAAGUCGUAGCAAGGUA
RNAcentral lists this ribosomal RNA (1414 nucleotides) under metagenome. RNAcentral's name for it is "bacterial SSU rRNA". It matches the Rfam family "Archaeal small subunit ribosomal RNA". The record is from RNAcentral.